This 353-nucleotide ribosomal RNA is filed under the name uncultured bacterium. RNAcentral's name for it is "bacterial SSU rRNA". It matches the Rfam family "Bacterial small subunit ribosomal RNA", at positions 976 to 1325 of the family's 1533-position model. The record is from RNAcentral.
UGGGUUUGACAUCCUCUGACCGUCUGGGAAACCAGAUUUUUCCGACUCUGUCGGAACAGAGUGACAGGUGCUGCAUGGCUGUCGUCAGCUCGUGUCGUGAGAUGUUGGGUUAAGUCCCGCAACGAGCGUAACCCUUGUCUUUAGUUGCCAGUAUUAAGUUAGGCACUCUAAAGAGACUGCCUCGGUUAACGGGGAGGAAGGUGGGGAUGACGUCAAGUCCUCAUGGCCUUUAUACCCAGGGCUACACACGUGCUACAAUGGGCUGUACAAAGGGUUGCUAAUUCGUGAGGAGGAGCUAAUCCCAAAAAGCAGCUCUCAGUUCGGAUUGGAGUCUGCAACUCGACUCCAUGAAG